AUCAAAUAUUGCUGCAGCUAUUGGAAUAAAAAAUUCUUUGAAUUUGUGUUCGAACAAUGAUUAAAAAUUAUAUUGAGGAUCGAACCAUGGUUUAAAAUAUACAUAUACGGUAUAGAUAUAAGGUAAUUGUAUGUAUUUUAUCUAUAUCUAUGGAGUUCCAACCCCAAAUUGUGAAUACGGUUAACCACACCAGACAAUAUCGCAUAUACUAACUGAAUGGCCUAUUAGGAAAUUUGACGGCGAACUCUAAGAUAUGUUCAAUCCCCGGAAGCUAUUGAAUGUAUUCAAAAUCUCGACAUCCAAAAGCAGAUAAAUUGGUUCACUAUUCUAGUAAAAAAUUACAUAUAUUUAUAUACAUUGUUGUUAUUAUUGUCAUUGUUAUGCUUAAUGUAUUGCUGAUAUAGCCUUAUUGAUGUUCUAUUUUAUUAAUUGUUAUAAUUAUCAUAAACAUUAUUACUUGUUUUCUAUUUUGCC
Molecule: non-coding RNA, 474 nt
Organism: Cinara cedri
Lineage: Eukaryota; Metazoa; Arthropoda; Insecta; Hemiptera; Aphididae
Source: the annotation of a GenBank genome assembly